GUAGUUUGAUCAUGGCUCAGGAUGAACGCUAGCGGCAGGCUUAACACAUGCAAGUCGAGGGGCAGCGGGGUGUAGCAAUACACUGCCGGCGACCGGCGCACGGGUGCGUAACGCGUAUGCAACCUACCCAUAACAGGGGGCAUAACACUGAGAAAUUGGUACUAAUUCCCCAUAACAUUCGAAGAGGCAUCUCUUUAGGUUGAAAACUCCGGUGGUUAUGGAUGGGCAUGCGUUGUAUUAGC
RNAcentral lists this ribosomal RNA (242 nucleotides) under uncultured bacterium. RNAcentral describes it as "partial 16S ribosomal RNA". It matches the Rfam family "Bacterial small subunit ribosomal RNA", at positions 9 to 245 of the family's 1533-position model. The record is from RNAcentral.